CCAUUCCGAACCCGGUAGCUAAGCUCCCCAGCGCUGAUGGUACUGCACUCGACAGGGUGUGGGAGAGUAAGACACCGCCGACA
RNAcentral lists this ribosomal RNA (83 nucleotides) under Saccharopolyspora antimicrobica. Lineage: Bacteria; Bacillati; Actinomycetota; Actinomycetes; Pseudonocardiales; Pseudonocardiaceae. The record is from RNAcentral.